GGGCAGUGACGAUUAGUUGCACAAAUUGUGAACAACGGGGGUUGUCACAGUCAUCUGAUAUAAGAUGAAAUAUUGUGCAUCUGAGCUC
Non-coding RNA from Capsicum annuum, 88 nucleotides. NCBI's taxonomy places the organism in Eukaryota, Viridiplantae, Streptophyta, Magnoliopsida, Solanales, Solanaceae. The record is from Rfam.